RNAcentral lists this ribosomal RNA (245 nucleotides) under uncultured bacterium. RNAcentral describes it as "partial 16S ribosomal RNA". It matches the Rfam family "Bacterial small subunit ribosomal RNA", at positions 524 to 769 of the family's 1533-position model. The record is from RNAcentral.
UACGUAGGAUGCGAGCGUUGUCCGGAGUUACUGGGCGUAAAGCGUGUGCAGGCGGUCGUCUGCGUCUGGGUGAAAUCUCCUGGCUCAACUGGGAGGGUGCCACGGAUACGGGGCGACUUGAGGACUUGAGAGGGAAGUAGAACUCCCGGUGGAACAGUGAAAUGUGUAGAGAUCGGGAAGAAUACCAGAGGGGAAGCCGGCUUCCUGGCAAGUACCUGACGCUCAGACACGAAAGCUUGGGGAGC